This 505-nucleotide ribosomal RNA is filed under the name uncultured bacterium. RNAcentral's name for it is "partial 16S ribosomal RNA". It matches the Rfam family "Bacterial small subunit ribosomal RNA", at positions 28 to 507 of the family's 1533-position model. The record is from RNAcentral.
GACGAACGCUGGCGGCGUGCCUAAUACAUGCAAGUAGAACGCACAGUUUAUACCGUAGCUUGCUACACCAUAAACUGUGAGUUGCGAACGGGUGAGUAACGCGUAGGUAACCUGCCUGGUAGCGGGGGAUAACUAUUGGAAACGAUAGCUAAUACCGCAUAAUAUUGAUUAUUGCAUGAUAAUUGAUUGAAAGAUGCUAUUGCAUCACUACCAGAUGGACCUGCGUUGUAUUAGCUAGUAGGUGAGGUAACGGCUCACCUAGGCGACGAUACAUAGCCGACCUGAGAGGGUGAUUGGCCACACUGGGACUGAGACACGGCCCAGACUCCUACGGGAGGCAGCAGUAGGGAAUCUUCGGCAAUGGACGAAAGUCUGACCGAGCAACGCCGCGUGAGUGAAGAAGGUUUUCGGAUCGUAAAGCUCUGUUGUAAGAGAAGAACGGGUGUGAGAGUGGAAAGUUCACACUGUGACGGUAUCUUACCAGAAAGGGACGGCUAACUACGUG